This is a long non-coding RNA of Bos taurus (domestic cattle), 3607 nucleotides long. Lineage: Eukaryota; Metazoa; Chordata; Mammalia; Artiodactyla; Bovidae. The record is from Ensembl.
GCACAUAUUGUGCUCAAUGUCAUCCUCACAAAAGACCAGUACCCUUUCCCUGCCCCAUUCCACACACAUGUAUUGAAUGCCAGACCAGUAGCGGGGGAGUCUUGGUCCUGACCUCAGGAGCUUCUAGCUCAGAGCUCCCAAAAGUGUUAUCAAACUGAUCUCAGGUCCUCUCACCCAAUGCACUGCAAAGCCAGUCAACUGGUACCAGGUGUGGUGAAGGAAAGUGCAGCAUACCUUUGAACAGUGCCAAGCAAGAAGAGAAGGUAGCCAAAGUGCCAAAGAUGUCCGACCUCUGAUGGCUUCCAGGAAAGGGUUUUUCAAAGCAGCAUUAGGGGUGAGGGUCACAGGGUGUAUGACCAUGUCAUGGACAUUUUUCUGAUUGGUUGGUGGUGAGUUAACAGAGUGAUCAAUCUUCUGCCUCCAACCAGUUUAGGCUCUAUAUGUUUGAGGUCAGCAGUUUCCAUCUGGUAGGGUCCUGGUUUCUGCCAAAACAGCAUAAGAAUAUGUGUCAGAAGGCUCUCCAUAGAGGGGUAACCUCAAGGAGAAGCUAGGGGUUUUGUGACUCUUUUUUCUGGUGGACCUAUUAUUUAAUUUGCUAUUACUUUCCCGCUUGACUGCUUCAUUUUUGUCCCUGAUUUCCCACUUCUCCAAUCAUCAAUUGCUGAGUCUGCUCUCAGAUAAGGCCUAAGAGGCUAAAAGCUUUUUCUACAAGCAAGAAGUGGGGAACACAGAUGUCUGUCACUGGGAAGGCCCCACAGGGCCUGUUUCUGUUUCACAAGGGUGGAGAGCUCCCAAAUCUCUGCUACCAGAUUAAUUCAUUAAUUAUACCAGUCGAUAUUUAUUUCUUUUUAAAUUUUACUUAUCUUCAGCUGCACGGGAUCUUUGUUGCUGCACGCAGCCUUUCUUUAGCUGUGAAAAUGGAGCUACUCUCUAGUCUCUAGUCUAGCCAGCUUGUCAUUGCUUUGGCUUGUCUUGUUGAGGAGCACAGAUUCUAGGGCACCACAGGCUUCAGUAGCUGCAGAAACGCGGGCUCGAGAUCCCUCAGGCUUCAGUAGUUGAGGUGCACUGGGCUUGGUUGCUCUGCUGGCAUGUGGAAUCUUCCCAGACCAGGGAUCAAACCCGUGUCCCCUGCAUUGGCAAGCGGAUUCUUAACCACUGGUCCACCAGGGAAGUCCAACAUAUAUCGAUUGCUUGAGCUCCCUCUGUAUGCUACUGGGCAACGGGGAGACAAUGUUUUCUGAGCCCCAGCCUUAGCUUCUAAACAACUUGCUGCCUGGUUGGGAAACAGACAAGAAAACUGGUAUAAGAACAGAAGAUGCUGAAGGCCCAAGGGGUGUUCUCCCACCAGCCUUGGGCAUCAGGGCUUUCCCAGAGGAGGGGACAUUUCAGCUGAGAAGGGGAGAGAAAUCAGCCUAUACAGGAGAGAGGAAGAGGUGUUUCUGGCAAUGGGAACAGUGUGUGCAGAAGCCUGCACAAGAGGUGUGUCAGAGGAAUUAAAGACAUCUUACUGAGACACAGUUUGGAGGCAGAUGCUAGAGGAGAAGGGAAGAUUGGGAGCCAAUCACCGCGCAAGAAGAGCCUUGCAGGCCGAUCUUUCGAAUUCAAGUUGCUUUUGAACUAUGGUGUUGGAGAAGACUCUUGAGAGUUCCUUGAGAGCAAGAAGAUCGAGUCAGUUAAUCCUAAAGGAAAUCAGUCCUGAAUAUUCAUUGGAAGGACUGAUGCUGAAGCUGAAGCUCCAAUACUUUGGCCACCUGAUGCAAAGAACUGACUCACUGGAAAAGACCCUGGUGCUGGGAAAGAUUGAAGGCAGGAGGAGAAGGCAAUGACAGAGGAUGAGAUGAUUGGAUGGUAUCACCGAUUCAGUGGACAUGAGUUUGAGCAAGCUCUGGGAGUUUGUGAUGGACGGGGAGGCCUGGUGUGCUGCAGUCCAUGGGAUUGAAAAGAGUUGGACACGAUUGAGUGACUGAACUUUCAUCAAGAGGCUCUUUAGUUUUUCUUUGCUUUCUGCCAUAAGGAUGAUGUCAUCUGUGUAGCUGAGGUUAUUGAUAUAAUAUUUGCUAUGCUAUCUGCUAGGAAUGCCCUUCCUCCAAUUCUACAGUGCUUAGGGAGACCUCUUCACUCUCCAGUUUCCUCUUUUCCAGGACACCUUUCCCAGCAUACCAAUCAGAGCCUCCUUCCCCCUUAGUCAUCUCCCAGCACUGACUGCAGAGAUCGGAUUCUGUGGCCCCACAUCCUUCUCCUGGACUCCAGGCAGGAUCCACCCCCUCCCCCAGCCUUGGACGUGGCGUGGACAUGGGUGUGGAUCCAGGCUGUAUUUUUUGAAUGAAUGAGUGAUUACAUGAACAUCUGUGUUGCAUAAACAGCCUAUUCCGAGAGUUGGUCCAAUCUUGUUUUAUAUUCCAGCCUUGUCUCCCCAAUAUCUCAGGAACUCAGUCUUCCUAUUUGUGAAAUGAGCACAGUAUUGCACCCACCUCUGGUUGCAGAGGAUUAAGGAAAAUAGGAUAUGUCAGGCACCCAGCAUGUUGCCAAGCACACAGUAGGCCUUCAGGAACCACGUGAGCUCUCUUGGUUUUUUUUUUUUUUUUCAGUGGCAUCCGACUCUGUGCGACCCCAUAGACGGCAGCCCACCAGGCUCCUCUGUCCAUGGGAUUUUCCAGGCAAGAGUACUGGAGUGGUGUGCUAUUGCCUUCUCCGUGAGCUCUCUUGUGCUCUCCAAUUAUGAGAAAUAAUUAUGAGAAACUUGGACUCAGGACUCAUGUCCUGCCUCAUCUAUUGCAGUACUCCCCCAUUCCCAACCUGCCCCAGGACAAGGCCAUUGAUAACAGAACUGUCAGAGGAAGAGGAGGAUUUGUUCCACAGGACAGUCCCAAGGGCUCUGAAUUCCAUGUCCCCCGCACAUAACAUUGCUUGCUACCCUGAUUACAGGGACUGGAGUCACAGAUAGACAAACAGCUGGACGGUGGAACCCUGAGUUUGAUGUCUUGAUUUUGGUCCUAGAAGCCAGGCAGCCCUUUACCCUCUGUCUGCACUCUGGCCCCAAGUGGCUACACCCCAUCUCAUGUUGAUGGCUCUCCCAUUUGCAUCACCAGCCCAACCUCUCCCCUGAACUUCAGACUCAAAUAUCCACCUGUACUGGGUCUUCUCACUGGGUACCUUGUAAGUAUCUCGCAUUCAGCCAGUCUGAAGCACAGGUCCCAGUUCCUCACCCUGAGAUCAACUUCUUCAUCAGCAUGGCAGGGGAAUGGCUGCACCAUCAUUCUGCUCCCCAGGUCCCCAAACCUCGACUCAUUCUCAUCACUUCUCUUCCUUCACCCCACAUGUCCAGUUCAUCCAGUUGUCCUGUAGGCUCAGACUUCAGAAUGAACCCAAACCUGCCCAGCACUCCUGUGGGUCCUGCCAGCUCCUUCCUGGAUCCUUCCCUGGCCUUCCACCACUUACAUUCCCGCCCUAAACAUCCCUGCUCCCCUGGGCAGCCUCAGAGAGAUCCUUAAAAUGAUAAAUCAGAGAUUCUUAAAAUGACGCUGAGCUCAGCACAGUGCAGUCACCCCUCCCCACCUCCAACCUGGGCAGUUGGGGCAUCAGAGAGAGGUCUGGCAUGGGGUUUGUG